Vicugna pacos (alpaca) is the source of this 3892-nucleotide non-coding RNA. Lineage: Eukaryota; Metazoa; Chordata; Mammalia; Artiodactyla; Camelidae. The record is from RefSeq and is a predicted model, not a curated record.
CUGGAGAACACUUAGUGAUAUAGGAAAAUACCUUUGAUGUGACAUUCAGUGAGGAAAAAAAAGACAUAAGAUGCACUAUACCGGUUCUAUAAAUAAAUGUGUGUGUGAGUGAGUGUGUGUGUGUGAGUCACAGAGAAGGUAGGAGAGAGGAAAACAGACUAAUAUCAAUGAUUAUUUCUGGAUGGCGAGAUUACCUUCUAAUGUUUUCCAUAAUACCUAGAAUAAAUCUAUAUUACUUUUACAAUCAAGAGAAAAUGGAUUUUUUAAAGCGGAAACAAGGGAUUUGGAAGGAGACAAGCUCGUGAGAACCCCAGCUCAGACUCUCCCUAGCAUCUGGGGCGGGGCCGCUGGCCUGUCUCUGGAUCUAUCUGAAGGACUUUUUCUGGGACUGGUGGGAAGAGACACUGAAUUAAGAAUCGUACCUGAUUGGGGUUCUAUUUUUGAAAGAGGCCUGUGCUGGCAUCCCCAGAGACAGAGCAUGGUGUAUUUCCCUGAAUAACCACUGCUAUUUUUAGAGGGCGCCAAUGAACUGCACCCAGAGAGAGAGGGGAGAGGAGCGACCGCUUGCUUCUGGAGACCCUUUCCCACUCUCAGCUCCUUGCUCAGAAUGGCAGCUCCUCGAGGGCAGGACGGUACCACCACCCACCCACCACCUUCCCGGCAUCCUGCCCAGUGCCUGACAUGAAAUGGUGUUUUGGAGGCCAGGCCAUCCAGAGAGAAGAGUUCUCUAGAAUGCCCAAUGCUGUCCUCGCUGUCCAGUGGUUCCUAUACUCACUGAAGGGCCUGGCUUUGCAGAAGACAAAGACUAGGGCAGCAGUCAAAUAAUAGUCAUCUCUAGUGUUUCAUAAUAACAGCUACUUUUUUUUUGAGUGAACAGCCUUUGUAAUCAGCCUCUUGCCUAAUCAUGGUAAACUUUCCCAGAAGAGGAGGCCAGGGUUCAGGGCCUCACCAAGGUCACGCAGCAGGAAAGGGUUGGAGCCCAAGUUUGACCUGGGCCAUUACGAGCCCGGAGCCUGUGCUCCUGGUCACCUGCAUGGUCCACAACGUGUCUGUCUCCUGUCCCGCCGCACGGAGCGCAGUGCACGUGGAAGGGCUUCCGGCCUAACCACUAACAAGACUCUGGGGAAAAAAAAAUCCUGUGGGAAGGCUGCUACAUUCUACAUCAGGGUUUAGGAGAAAAGGAAGGCGAGUUCCCCCCACCCCCUCAGGGUCCCCCAGCCAAACAAUGCAUUUUAAAUGGCUCCCAAAUUGCUCAGCUAUUUCACUACUUCAGAGGAGAAAUUGCUUGUGGGGGGAGCUGUUGACCCUUUAUGCCCUGAACAUAAAAAUGAAAUGCCAGCUGGGAAAAUGAAGCCACCAGAGGUUGCGGGCAGUGGAGGGGUUCGGUGGGCAUCGUUUGUGGUACAUGUGUGCGGACAGUGUUGAGCCUGGGUUUCUGGGUGUGCCUCUGGGAGCCAGCGUAGUAUGGAGUCUGGGGUCAGAGGGACCUGGUUCAAACCCAGCCCAGGACUAAUGCUCCUGUGGUGACGUGCCUGUGAGGACUCAGUGUGACUGAGGCGCCCUUCAGGCAGAGGGUUCUGUGUGGCUGUGGAAAAGUACCAACACCCAGGCCCAGGCUCAGAAGUCCCGACUUAUUGGCCUGGGGUGGGCCCAGCUGAGUCUAAUGAACAACCAGGGCUGAGCACCCCUGCCUGACUCCCCCGUCCCCUCCCUCCCUCACCCUCUCCCUGCUCAGGGCCCCACUUUCCUCCCCUCUCAGAUGCCUGUGCUGUUUUGUGCGGAAGCAAUCCCCAGAUCGCUCGGGGUGACACAGACGUGCCCUCGGUAAACUGGUGCCCUGUUGGGAACAGAACCAGCCCGUGUGCGUCACAGCUUUGCCGUGGAGAGGAGCCAGUGCCGGCCGGGGUGCUGGUUGGCCCAGGAGAGAAGCACUGGAAGGGCCUGCGGUUGCCGUGGCCUCUCUCCUUUUUACUGAAUCCCGUCUCCCCGAGCACGGCAUCUGCUGAACACACCCCAUCCACACACAGCCUGGCCUGGGGUGGAGAAAGUGCCUGCCUUCCUGGGACCCGGGGGCUGCUCCAGGAAGGGCGAUUGGAAGGUUCUAGAAAUGUGGGUAAGGCAGACCGUGAGCCAGCCCUGUCAGAGCAGAGACACAUCCCCAGGUCCUGAGGAGAAGAGAAAAGGAGCUCUCCAGCCUCCAGAGCCUGUCUGCUGAGGGGCCAGGUCGGGAAGAAGCCUGUAACAGGUGUGGCAGAGGCCCUGCCUGCAGGACAUGUCUGCCUGGAAACGUCCCUCGGGAAACGUGGAGUGCAGUUGCCUGCCUGUAGGCCGACCCCUGCAGUGUGUGUCCCUGACAACAACUAUCCUGUCACAGGGAGCACCGGGCAGGUCUGACCCUCAGACAUCGACACGACCCCCACCACAACCCUGGGAGGCAGGGCUGAGGGUCCCAGUGUCACAGGCAGAGAAUCUGAGGCUCAGGGGACACAGAACCAGUAAGUGAUGAGGCACUGGCUCCUGAGAAUUGUAAGCAGCUGCUUUCAGACCCAUUUUCUCAUUUGAUCUUCUCGAUAGGCCUAUGAGAUGGGCCGACGAGAGGUUGUUAUCCCCAUUUUAAGGAAGAGGAAAACUGAGGCUCAGACACACAGUGAUGUCUCCAAGUGUCACACAGCAAAAGGGCAUCAGAGCCUGGACUCAAGACCAGGCCUGUGGGGCUCACAUCGGGGCUCUGUCCACUCAGCCCAGGCCUGCGGCAUGUUCCCUACUGUCCACCACACAUGUCCCCCUCAGGAUGCCUCACCGGCCAGCCUGCUCUGGGCUCCAAAUGCUCCCAUUCUUCACUUCCUUCCUGAAACCCAGCUUGCUUACUGUCUUCUAGCUGUGUGAUCUUGGACAGGCUGAUGCCCCUGACCUCUAUGAGCUUUCGUUUUCUUACAAGGCAGGGAGAGGGGAGCCCACCUCCCAGGGUUACUUGAGAACCAACAAGGUAACCGUCUGGGUCCCAAGCCUCACACAGGGUCCCUGCUAGGGGUAAAUGGGCAUUCACUGGAUCAGAUAAAUUCAUCUGUGGGGAAUUUCACGCAGUGUCAUCCAGCCCAACCCUUCACUUACAGGAAGGGAGACUGAGGGUGAAAGGGGACAGUGACUUGACUAGGGUCACACAGCAGGUGGAGGCCUGGCCAGCCAGUCCUCAGACCCCUGUGUCUUGAUCCCCAGUCCAGUGCUCUGCACACCACAGCAGACAGCGCCCUGGAGCCAGGGGAACGCACAACACAAGAGACUAGAUCCAGGAAAGACCCCACCGCCUUAAACGCUGCUGGUGGGCAGCCGUGUUUCACUGGGUGGCUGCAUCCCUGUUCCCAGUCACCCACCCCGGCCCUGCUGCUUACAGCUGUGAGGUCCUGGGCAGGGCAUUAGCCCUCAGGGGCUCAGGUACAAUGUGGACCAGGAGGGCUGUCAGGGAAGACGCCCAUUGUUCUGAGGUCUUUUUCUCAGCCCUCACUUCCUGAAGGGAAGUGUUGGCAUUGGUGGUGGUGGUAGCAGGCUGUCCUAGGCUUCCAGUCCUCUCACUGCUCGGGCAGGGUCCUGGAAACUGGGAGGUAUGGAGAAGGAGCAGAGCUGGGAGGAGCUUGUUUGGCUUCUGGUACCUUCUGCAACAACCCAGACUCCCCUCCUUUUUGAGAAAGGGCUCACAAGCAAGGAACUCAGAGCUGAUGGCCGAGAGAGGUGAUUUGCCACUCUGUCUGUGUAGAGAAAGUAACCAUCAUUCCUGGAUUCUUCUCCAAAACUUUUUUUUUUAAAUACCUGAGACACUCAGUUGCAGACUCUCUACUGGAAAUCUUUUUUUAAACUGUAAUUAUAAUUAAACCUGCUUUGCAACAAGAAAAAAAAA